RNAcentral lists this non-coding RNA (20 nucleotides) under Arabidopsis thaliana (thale cress). The record is from RNAcentral. Lineage: Eukaryota; Viridiplantae; Streptophyta; Magnoliopsida; Brassicales; Brassicaceae.
UUGCCUUACUUUGGUUGGGC